GCCUGCUUGGCUGUUACUAUGGCAGCCACACACUGCAAACCAGUUUUCCCUGUUGCCCCAGGAGGAUGUCACCCAAGGGAGGAUGGCAGGCUGCAUCACAUGGCACCUGUGUGCUCUGCUCCGCCACACGCACCAGGUAGAGCGGCCACCCCAGCCGCAGAUGGAGGGUGUGUGCUGGGGGAUGGGCUGACGCACGACCCUGGUUCCCAGCUCUCCAGGUGGGCUGGAGCCCGAGGCUGGAGGAGGAGGAAGGAAAAAAGAUCACUGUUCCCUUCCGUUGGGGAUGAUAGGGACGUCAGAAGCUGGUCUCCAGGAGGGGAGCAUCGUCAUGAAGAGCAGAAAGAAUUGGGCGUUUGCUCAUCCAGGUAGAGGAGGCUUCAGGAGGGAGGAGCCAUCAGAAAGAAUGUGGACACGCUUUGACUUCCAGCCUUUAAAUGGGGGAGCCAAGCCCCCGUCCUGCUCCUGGCCAGGCUCUGGGAGGAAGCGGGGUGCCCUUGGCCCAUCUGGCUCCUGCUCGUCUGGGAUCCGGGUUGCACGUCGCCCCGACGACACCUGGCAGCUGGCGGGGCCCUGGAGCCCGCGCCCUCCCCCCUGCAGGCACACAGGCCACACGGUUGGGGAUUAAGUGGGACAUCUGCACAUAAGAUGCUGACAAAACCACUCCCAGCCUGGAAGCGGCUUGGGGAAAACAGGGCAAUUAGAUGAAGUCUCCUGCUGGGCGCAAAGCCGGCUCCGGCUGCACGGACGCCUGACCCCGCCCUCCCCUUCUCGUCCUGUCUUUUUUUUUUUUUUUCUUUUCCUACUUUUCUUUUUCACCCAUCUACUCCAGCUCACCUCUUUCUGACUGCACUCAUCCUCCAUUUCCCCUGGUUUCCGUUUCUCUUAUGCUCUUCUCCCCGCCCCGCCCCCUUCCUCCUCCUCCUCCUCCUCUGCUGGCUUUCCCUCCCCAUCUUCACCAUCCCCCUCCCUCUUCCUCGUGUCCAUUGCAGGUUUUUUUCCCCUGUCUUGGCUCACCUGUCAGCUGAAGUGGGUUCCGGUUCUCCUGGAGGGGAGCUGCCAGGGGCAUAACUGAACACUAAAGUGUGGCAUCGUGGUUUUGCUGCAGAGGGGCACAGGGGCCCGCACCCGGGGCCCCAGGACAAAGGGAGUCACAGCCACCAGUGAUUGGGCACUGCGACGGGUUCCACGGCAGACCCACUAAGUAGCAGAUGGUUUCUGCUUUGUGGUUUAGGGGACCCAGACUGAGACCCCACCAGUCUCACCCAAGGUCAUCCUACAAGUUAGAAUGUGGCAGUUUUAGAGGUAGUGGAUCCGUGGUUAUGGGUGUUGGGUGGUGGAUCAGUGGUUAUGGGUGAUAGGUAGUGGAUCCGAGGUUACGGGUGUUGGGUGGUGGAUCAGUGGU
Molecule: non-coding RNA, 1402 nt
Organism: Ictidomys tridecemlineatus (thirteen-lined ground squirrel)
Lineage: Eukaryota; Metazoa; Chordata; Mammalia; Rodentia; Sciuridae
Source: RefSeq, a predicted model, not a curated record